UACGGGGGGGCAAGCGUUGUUCGGAAUUACUGGGCGUAAAGGGCUCGUAGGCGGCCAACUAAGUCAUACGUGAAAUCCCCCGGCUUAACCGGGGAACUGCGUCUGAUACUGGAUGGCUUGAGUUCGGGAGAGGGAUGCGGAAUUCCAGGUGUAGCGGUGAAAUGCGUAGAUAUCUGGAGGAACACCGGUGGCGAAGGCGGCAUCCUGGACCGAUACUGACGCUGAGGAGCGAAAGCGUGGGGAGCAAACAGG
RNAcentral lists this ribosomal RNA (252 nucleotides) under uncultured bacterium. Its description in RNAcentral is "partial 16S ribosomal RNA". It matches the Rfam family "Bacterial small subunit ribosomal RNA", at positions 524 to 776 of the family's 1533-position model. The record is from RNAcentral.